UGAAGACAGCGACAAUAUACCUACAUACAU
RNAcentral lists this non-coding RNA (30 nucleotides) under Mus musculus (house mouse). Lineage: Eukaryota; Metazoa; Chordata; Mammalia; Rodentia; Muridae. The record is from RNAcentral.